RNAcentral lists this transfer RNA (82 nucleotides) under Streptomyces violaceochromogenes. RNAcentral describes it as "tRNA-Arg". The record is from RNAcentral. RNAcentral also lists the same sequence under 1 other name. Lineage: Bacteria; Bacillati; Actinomycetota; Actinomycetes; Kitasatosporales; Streptomycetaceae.
GCGCCGCUGCGCAGGCUGCGGCGCUCGCUCUUCGGCAGCAGGUAGGGGCCCGCGCUCGGGCGGUCACACCGCCCCUGGCGUC